UGGGGAAUAUUGCACAAUGGGCGAAGCCUGAUGCAGCAACGCCGCGUGAGUGAUGAAGGCCUUCGGGUUGUAAAGCUCUGUCUUUUGGGACGAUAAUGACGGUACCAAAGGAGGAAGCCACGGCUAACUACGUGCCAGCAGCCGCGGUAAUACGUAGGUGGCAAGCGUUGUCCGGAUUUACUGGGCGUAAAGGAUGCGUAGGCGGAUUUUUAAGUGAGAUGUGAAAUACCCGGGCUUAACUUGGGUGCUGCAUUUCAAACUGGGAAUCUAGAGUGCGGGAGAGGAGAAUGGAAUUCCUAGUGUAGCGGUGAAAUGCGUAGAGAUUAGGAAGAACACCAGUGGCGAAGGCGAUUCUCUGGACCGUAACUGACGC
This 373-nucleotide ribosomal RNA is filed under the name uncultured bacterium. RNAcentral describes it as "partial 16S ribosomal RNA". It matches the Rfam family "Bacterial small subunit ribosomal RNA", at positions 355 to 746 of the family's 1533-position model. The record is from RNAcentral.